Molecule: long non-coding RNA, 221 nt
Organism: Canis lupus familiaris (dog)
Lineage: Eukaryota; Metazoa; Chordata; Mammalia; Carnivora; Canidae
Exons: 3
Source: RefSeq, a predicted model, not a curated record
AGUUACUAUGUGUAUUACGGAAAUAAGAGUGGGAAGACUGUUGUGCCCAAGAUUGCGAAUCCGAGAAACCACCGAGACGCCGACAGCGAUGAAAACACACGAGGGUUUACUUACAAGCUCGAGCUUGUGUCCAAUUAUACCCGACAGAGCGGAGCAGGGAGUUGGACCCCGAAACUGUUGUGCCCAAGAUUGCGAAUCUGAGAAAUCACCGAGAAGCCAAC